This 301-nucleotide ribosomal RNA is filed under the name uncultured bacterium. Its description in RNAcentral is "partial 16S ribosomal RNA". It matches the Rfam family "Bacterial small subunit ribosomal RNA", at positions 509 to 807 of the family's 1533-position model. The record is from RNAcentral.
CAGCCGCCACGGGAAUACGAAGGGGGCUAGCGUUGCUCGGAAUUACUGGGCGUAAAGCGCACGUAGGCGGCUUGGUAAGUUAGAGGUGAAAGCCCGGAGCUCAACUCCGGAAUUGCCUUUAAGACUGCCGAGCUAGCAGGUGAGAGAGGUAAGUGGAAUUCCGAGUGUAGAGGUGAAAUUCGUAGAUAUUCGGAAGAACACCAGUGGCGAAGGCGGCUUACUGGCUCAUACUGGACGCUGAGGUGCGAAAGCGUGGGGAGCAAACAGGAUUAGAUACCCCAGUAGUCCCUGUCUCUUAUAC